Molecule: non-coding RNA, 74 nt
Organism: Ameiurus melas (black bullhead)
Lineage: Eukaryota; Metazoa; Chordata; Actinopteri; Siluriformes; Ictaluridae
Source: the annotation of a GenBank genome assembly
GGAAGUGUAUCCGAAGUGGUUAAGAGGUUGGACUUCUGAUCGCAAGGUUGUGAGUUCAAAUCCCAGUACUACCA